This 462-nucleotide ribosomal RNA is filed under the name uncultured bacterium. RNAcentral describes it as "partial 16S ribosomal RNA". It matches the Rfam family "Bacterial small subunit ribosomal RNA", at positions 28 to 507 of the family's 1533-position model. The record is from RNAcentral.
GAUCAACGCUGGCGGCGUGCUUAACACAUGCAAGUCGAACGAAGUUUUUCUUUCGGGAGGAACUUAGUGGCGGACGGGUGAGUAGCGCGUGGGUAACCUGCCCUGUACAGGGGGACAACAGCUGGAAACGGCUGCUAAUACCGCAUAAGCCCUUAGCACUGCAUGGUGCAUAGGGAAAAGGAGCAAUCCGGUACAGGAUGGACCCGCGUCUGAUUAGCCAGUUGGCAGGGUAACGGCCUACCAAAGCGACGAUCAGUAGCCGAUCUGAGAGGAUGUACGGCCACAUUGGGACUGAGACACGGCCCAGACUCCUACGGGAGGCAGCAGUGGGGAAUAUUGCACAAUGGAGGAAACUCUGAUGCAGCGACGCCGCGUGAGUGAAGAAGUAUUUCGGUAUGUAAAGCUCUAUCAGCAGGAAAGAAAAUGACGGUACCUGACUAAGAAGCACCGGCUAAAUACGUG